This is a non-coding RNA of Ixodes scapularis (black-legged tick), 82 nucleotides long. Lineage: Eukaryota; Metazoa; Arthropoda; Arachnida; Ixodida; Ixodidae. The record is from Rfam.
CCAGUAGUUGCCGAGUGGUUAAGACGAUUGACUAGAAAUCCAGUGGAGUCUCCCCGCACAGGUUCGAAUCCUGUCGACUGCG